Molecule: long non-coding RNA, 4366 nt
Organism: Alligator sinensis (Chinese alligator)
Lineage: Eukaryota; Metazoa; Chordata; Crocodylia; Alligatoridae
Exons: 2
Source: RefSeq, a predicted model, not a curated record
AACAGUCCAAGCAGUGCCAGGGGUAGGAUGGUAUUUUUCCCCCCUCAUUAUUAGCAUCAUUAUUAUUAUUUUUUUUGAGAUCUAGAUUUUUUUUUUCCUCUCCUCGGGGUUGGAAGUGUUGGUUGCCUUGGGCAUUUUGGGAUAUAAUGUGUUUACUGCUGCGUCUCGUGCUUGCUUCCUUUUCUCAACCCCUAGGGGCAAAACGCAGUAUAUUUCCUUUGGACGAUGCAGUGAACAGGGGCAGAAGGAGUUGUAAAUACCUUUUUUUUUUCCUUUUUUUUUCUUUUUUAGGGAAAAAAACCCCAUGCUAUGCCUUGCUAAGCUCCCCCCAUCCCCUGUCCAAGCAGAGAAGAAACUGUUUCGCUUUGGUUUCCAUCUUUCUUAUUUUUUUAUAUGAUUAUGAUGAUUAUUUUUCCUUUUUUAAAAAAAAAAAUGUUUCUGUGGAGCUGAGCUGCAGCGUCAGUGGAUCAGAAAGAGAGAGAGAGAGAAAGAGAGAGAGAGAGACAGAGAGAGACAGGGAGAGGGGGAGACAGGCAACGUUGGCAGAGAUAACACGUAGAAGGUGAGAUCAGUUGAAACGAGGAAGUCGUGCUAUAGCAUCACUUCCACCAGCCUCCGAGUAUUUAACGCGGACACCAACGCGGUGUUAUUCGAGGGCUGCAUGGAGAAGACCAGCCAUGUAUGCACACAUGCCUGUGUGUACACCCCCGAGCAUGUGGAUGUGUGCAGAUGUAGCUGCACGGGUGUGCACACGCGUGUUCUACACGCCUGUGUGUCGAAGAGUGCGCAGCUCAAGGUUGCCUACACACCUUUAUAUACGCUUUCUAGCCGCUCUUUUUUUUUUCCAGACGAGGGCUGUACACCGUGUACACAUCACCCGGAGGCACAUAGGAUACACCCAGAGCCUGGAGGUGUUUUUAAAAUAUACACCGAGCUUGUGCACACGCAGUCACACACCCGGGCGCAAUUCUGAUCUGUGGAUUCCGGAUAUCAGCCCCUUUCCCCCCCGACCCCCAACAGCUCAUCUUAAUUUUCCCUGGAGGCAAAACACUUCGCCCCUGCUUUGGGGUUUUCUGCGUGGGAAGAGCACCCCCGGCCAACCUGCCUCCGCACCUAGGCAAGAUGCCCGGGCUCCCAGAGGGCGGUGAGAUUUGCCCUGCAGUUGCAUUAGCAGGCUCCACCAGCUGCCACAAACAACUUCAUCCCCUUCCCUUCCUCCAACAAAUAAGCAGGCGUCUGAAUUGGCAUUCAGAAUCCGAUCCGGACAGUAGCAAUUUUAUUAAGGCUUUUGGGGCUGUUUGGGAAAAGGGGAAGGUGGGUGGAGGAAAGAGGUGUGGGGGGGACUGAUUUGGGUUUGUUUCCUUUCAGUAAUUACUGGGGAUAGAAAACACAUGUGUUGGGCUUGCAUUUUUUGAAGCCUUUUUUUUUCUAAACCAGUUCAUCAAUUCGCUAAUUAUAGGUGGAGGAGAGAAAGGGGGGGGGGGGCGGGGGCAGGAGAAAAAAAUUCCGACACAUACACACCCAUAUAUGCGUGUGUGUGCAUGCGUGCGUAGGUGUGCAUGUGUAUACAACAUAUAUACACACACACACACAUACAUAUGUACAUACAUAUAUAUAUACAUACACACACACAUAUAUAUACACACAUAUGUAUGUGUGUGUGUGUGUAUGUGUGUGUGUUGGGAGGCUUCUCCUGUGAUAUAUUUCUCCUGUGAACAUCAGAAUGGGGAAGGGAGAGGGGGAGGGAAAAAAAAAAAAGAGGAAUAUGGCAUAUGAGUGGUGAAUGUUAUUUCGGAUUUCUGUGAGCUCUUUAUUUCUGAGAACAAAGAGCAACUGCUAUUAAAGAACUACUCCAGGAGCAGCGCAUAUUUUCACUGCUGUGUAGCAGUUUUAAUAAAACAUCUGUUCUUGCUUCUGCUGAUGAGUUUACAUAAUUGUUUGCAGACCAAUUUAACCAGAAAGCGCCCUGGAUAUUUCCCUGUACAUGUUUUCAAAGGGGGGGGGCGGUGAGAGAGAGAGAAAAAAAAACCCUUUGGGAGUGAAAUACCUUGAUGAAAUGCUUUCUAGAAAUCCCAAUACUCUUUUUAAAACAAAAUCAAUGGGAGAAAUAUCCAGGGCAUUAAAUGUGCUAAGAGGAGAGGCGCAAGCAGGAAAACGCCAUCUGAUUCUGUUACAGGCUUUUCCUCCCAAGAACUCAGAUUUUCAGUAGGAAGAGGGACCUAUUUUAAGUUUCUUUACGGCAGCUGGGUUGUGUUCACUAUAAAUCCACCAGACUUUUAAGACUUGCCCUCUGUUUACAGAAGUAAUAAAACACUUAACUUUCUCGACUCCUAGUCACACGGUUAUCUCACAGUUCUCCACUGCCAGAGCCCCCCUGAGCACCUAGACCAAAACAAAACAAAACAAAAUCAUCCCACCCAAGACACGACUUUCCCCCCAAACUUUGCCCAGGCUGGGAUUGUUCUCAAUGUGCUUCCAUAGGUGAAACACCCCACGUGAACCAGCCCCGGACAGGCUCCUCUACUCUGCAUCUGCAGGAGCUGAUGCUACUUGCACUCCCCACAUUGCAUGGGAUUAGAAGGGGUACCUAAAAAGCAGGCAACAUACCCAGAAGCAAAGAGUCUUCCUGGACAGCCAGCCAUCCACCCCAUUUCCUGCCCACUGCAACAUUUUCAUAUCUCCUGGAUAUAUCGCUGGUUUCCAAAGUAACCACGCUUUUAAAUGUGUGCAGGGAGGAUGCGUACAUACAGGCAACACGCAUCCCCACACACAUGAUCUAGGGCACAUACGUGUGUCCUCAGGCAUCUGCAUGGGUGCAUGGGCAGGGAGGGUAUUUGCAAGGGGGAGCGCUUUGCUUGUUUGUUUGUGUCCCCAAAAUCCCCGGGUAUAAAAUGUCCAAUGCCUGGAGAAAUAGGAGAAGCAGAAGGAAACGCAGAGGAAAGUAAACUCCAGUCAAUCUUCCCUCUGUGUAUUAUUGUGAUAUCUCCACGAGGUUGCCUACAAGUUGAGCUCAGUAGGGUGGGAUCCCUGGAACAAGACUAACAAGGUACAUAUGCUAAAUAACGUGAUGCGUACUAUCACCGAUCUGCUUUUUUUUUUUUUUUUUGGUUAGAAACUUUAUUUUUUUUUUCCUAGUGGCACUCAGGGGAAGCCUUAAUGUUAUAGAAGAUGAAUACACGCGCUUUUUUUUCAGUUGUAGCCUCCUUUAUGGCUUUAUUGCUACCAUUGAUUACUUUGCUUUGUUACAGAGAGGAAAAAAGAUCAUAAAAUGCUCUCGCAUCCGGGUUCCUGUUAUAGCUAGGGGGAAAAAAAUAUAGCUCCCCCACCCUUCUUUGUCAACUAAAAUCUUUUUAGAGAUACAUCGCUAAGAAGGAAUUAAGGGUAUUGAUUAAUAGCAAGGAAACACAUGCACAUGUUCGGAUUUCACCAUGCCCCCUCUCAGCCCUGCAUCACACCAGAGCACUCUGCCACCAGUCCUAAAUUUUCAAAUCAAAUGUGCACCCGAAGGAAGAAGAAGAAGAAUGGGGGGGAGGGAGGAAGGCCAGGCUUUCCCUUGCCAUAAGUGAUUUUUUUAAAUAGCAAGCCACCAGCAUGAUGAAGCUACCUCGCAAUAUUUACAGAUCAGCAGGUAUGUGUUACAUUUAAGAAGCAAUUUAUGGCUCGAGAUUGAAAUUAAAAUUAGAUUAGCUGUCUUCAUUUCAAUUAGGGCGAGGUGCAAGGCACCAGGAGCAGAGAUAAUAUCAUCUUCUCUUUAAUCUAACUAAAUAUUUGCCAUGGAAAUGUCUUCGCCAGCUGUAAAUAUCUGGACCCAUAAAUUUCUGCAAACGUAAACACGAGGUGUUGCCCUCACCCAAGAGUUUCCAAUCAACUAAAAAUUACAAAUAGAAGCAGCUGCUAUUUUGGGGCUGUAGUUAUUGUGGAAGAUGUACACCCUGGCAGGACCAAAUGGUCAGGGGACUAUUGGAGACAGAGAUAUCCAACAGCCCUAAAAGAAAGCCUCAACUUUGGGGUUAAACGUGAGUUGUUCGGAAGAUUUGCUGUCUUUUAUUCCAGUUUUUCUCCCCAACACCUUGAAUUCUCUACAGGACACACUAUCCAUUCAGCAGUCGCCAUGUUUUGUUCCCUCUUUCUGUCAUAUUUUCUCCCAAAGAACACAACCAUUUGAUUCCCUCAUAUUGACCAGUGCGACGUGAAAAGAAGAAGAGGAGAGGAGGAAAAAAAACACGAAGAGAAUUUAUAGCUUAAUAUUCUGUGGACAUCUGUGAUUUAUUACUUUGAAUGCUGGGCUAUUUUGUUACCAGAUAUUAAGAAAACAUUAAAAAAAAAAAAAAGACUGUGGUGCUAAAGCACAGUGUCCAUUUAAAAA